Molecule: ribosomal RNA, 718 nt
Filed under: Pterulicium lilaceobrunneum
Lineage: Eukaryota; Fungi; Basidiomycota; Agaricomycetes; Agaricales; Pterulaceae
Description: Deflexula lilaceobrunnea partial large subunit ribosomal RNA
Rfam family: Eukaryotic large subunit ribosomal RNA
Source: RNAcentral
GGAUUCCCCUAGUAACUGCGAGUGAAGCGGGAAAAGCUCAAAUUUAAAAUCUGGCAGUCUUGCUACUGUCCGAGUUGUAAUUUAGAGAAGCGUCAUCCGUGCUGGACCGUGUACAAGUCUCCUGGAACGGAGCGUCAUAGAGGGUGAGAAUCCCGUCCAUGACACGGACUACCAGUGCAUUGUGAUGCGCUCUCGAAGAGUCGAGUUGUUUGGGAAUGCAGCUCUAAAUGGGUGGUAAAUUCCAUCUAAAGCUAAAUAUAGGCGAGAGACCGAUAGCGAACAAGUACCGUGAGGGAAAGAUGAAAAGAACUUUGGAAAGAGAGUUAAACAGUACGUGAAAUUGUUGAAAGGGAAACGCUUGAAGUCAGUCGCGUUGUUCAGGGAUCAGCCUUGCUCUGCUUGGUGUACUUCCUGUUCGACGGGUCAGCAUCAGUUUCGACCGCUGGAAAAAGUGCGCAGGAAUGUGGCAUCCUCGGAUGUGUUAUAGCCUGUGUUCGUAUACGGCGGUUGGGACUGAGGAAUCCGCACUAGAUGCGUGGGAUGCUGGCAUAAUGGCUUUAAGCGACCCGUCUUGAAACACGGACCAAGGAGUCUAACAUGCCCGCGAGUGUUUGGGUGGAAAACCCGAGCGCGUAAUGAAAGUGAAAAGUUGGGAUCUCUGUCGUGGAGAGCACCGACGCCCGGACCAGAUGUUUUCGGACGGUUCUGCGGUAGAGCG